This 442-nucleotide ribosomal RNA is filed under the name uncultured bacterium. Its description in RNAcentral is "partial 16S ribosomal RNA". It matches the Rfam family "Bacterial small subunit ribosomal RNA", at positions 338 to 795 of the family's 1533-position model. The record is from RNAcentral.
CCUACGGGAGACUGCAGUAGGGAAUCUUUCACAAUGGGCGAAAGCCUGAUGGAGCAACGCCGCGUGCAGGAUGAAGGCCUUCGGGUUGUAAACUGCUUUUAUAAGCGAGAAAUAUGAUGGUAACUUAUGAAUAAGGAUCGGCUAACUACGUGCCAGCAGCCGCGGUCAUACGUAGGAUCCGAGCAUUAUCCGGAGUGACUGGGUGUAAAGAGUUGCGUAGGUGGCAUAAUAAGUAGCUAGUGAAAUCUGGUGGCUCAACCAUUCAGACUAUUAGCUAAACUGUUAAGCUCGAGAGCGUUAGGGGUAACUGGAAUUUCUAGUGUAGGAGUGAAAUCCGUAGAUAUUAGAAAGAACACCGGUGGCGUAGGCAGGUUACUGGGACGGUUCUGACACUAAGGCACGAAAGCGUAGGGAGCAAACGGGAUUAGAUACCCCUGUAGUC